ACGAACGCUGGCGGCGUGCUUAACACAUGCAAGUCGAACGGAAAGGCCUGCUUUCCCUUGUGGAUUGCGGGUACUCGAGUGGCGAACGGGUGAGUAACACGUGAGUGAUCUGCCCCCAACUUGGGUAUAAGCCUGGGAAACUGGGUCUAAUUCCCGAUAGGACUGCAGGGGGGUGCCUGUGGUGGAAAACGAUUUUCUAGUGGUUGGGGAUGAGCUCGCGGCCUAUCAGCUUGUUGGUGGGGUAAUGGCCUACCAAGGCGGCGACGGGUAGCCGGCCUGAGAGGGUGGACGGCCACAUUGGGACUGAGAUACGGCCCAGACUCCUACGGGAGGCAGCAGUGGGGAAUAUUGCACAAUGGGCGGAAGCCUGAUGCAGCGACGCCGCGUGGGGGAUGACGGCCUUCGGGUUGUAAACUCCUUUCGACCGCGAGGAAGCCACCUGGUUGGAAGGGUGGUGACGGUAGUGGUAGAAGAAGCACCGGCUAACUACGUG
RNAcentral lists this ribosomal RNA (493 nucleotides) under uncultured bacterium. Its description in RNAcentral is "partial 16S ribosomal RNA". It matches the Rfam family "Bacterial small subunit ribosomal RNA", at positions 29 to 507 of the family's 1533-position model. The record is from RNAcentral.